ACGAACGCUGGCGGCGUGCUUAACACAUGCAAGUCGAACGGAAAGGCCCUGCUUUUGUGGGGUGCUCGAGUGGCGAACGGGUGAGUAACACGUGAGUAACCUGCCCUUGACUUUGGGUAAACUUCAGGAAACUGGGGCAAAUACCGGAAAGGAGCUCCUGCUGCAUGGUGGGGGUUGGAAAGUUUGGGCGGUUGGGGAUGGACUCGCGGCUUAUCAGCUUGUUGGUGGGGUAGUGGCUUACCAAGGCUUUGACGGGUAGCCGGCCUGAGAGGGUGACCGGCCACAUUGGGACUGAGAUACGGCCCAGACUCCUACGGGAGGCAGCAGUGGGGAAUAUUGCACAAUGGGCGGAAGCCUGAUGCAGCAACGCCGCGUGCGGGAUGACGGCCUUCGGGUUGUAAACCGCUUUCGCCUGUGACGAAGCGUGAGUGACGGUAAUGGGUAAAGAAGCACCGGCUAACUACGUG
RNAcentral lists this ribosomal RNA (467 nucleotides) under uncultured bacterium. RNAcentral describes it as "partial 16S ribosomal RNA". It matches the Rfam family "Bacterial small subunit ribosomal RNA", at positions 29 to 507 of the family's 1533-position model. The record is from RNAcentral.